GAUGAACGCUGGCGGCGUGCCUAAUACAUGCAAGUAGAACGCUGAAGGAAGGAGCUUGCUCUUUCCGGAUGAGUUGCGAACGGGUGAGUAACGCGUAGGUAACCUGCCUGGUAGCGGGGGAUAACUAUUGGAAACGAUAGCUAAUACCGCAUAACAGUAGAUGUUGCAUGAUAUCUACUUAAAAGGUGCAAUUGCACCACUACCAGAUGGACCUGCGUUGUAUUAGCUAGUUGGUGAGGUAACGGCUCACCAAGGCGACGAUACAUAGCCGACCUGAGAGGGUGAUCGGCCACACUGGGACUGAGACACGGCCCAGACUCCUACGGGAGGCAGCAGUAGGGAAUCUUCGGCAAUGGACGGAAGUCUGACCGAGCAACACCGCGUGAGUGAAGAAGGGUGUCGGAUCGUAAAGCUCUGUUGUAAGAGAAGAACGAGUGUGAGAGUGGAAAGUUCACACUGUGACGGUAUCUUACCAGAAAGGGACGGCUAACUACGUG
This 497-nucleotide ribosomal RNA is filed under the name uncultured bacterium. RNAcentral describes it as "partial 16S ribosomal RNA". It matches the Rfam family "Bacterial small subunit ribosomal RNA", at positions 28 to 507 of the family's 1533-position model. The record is from RNAcentral.